RNAcentral lists this ribosomal RNA (521 nucleotides) under uncultured Glomus. RNAcentral's name for it is "SSU rRNA". It matches the Rfam family "Eukaryotic small subunit ribosomal RNA", at positions 569 to 1092 of the family's 1831-position model. Lineage: Eukaryota; Fungi; Glomeromycota; Glomeromycetes; Glomerales; Glomeraceae. The record is from RNAcentral.
AGCAGCCGCGGUAAUUCCAGCUCCAAUAGCGUAUAUUAAAGUUGUUGCAGUUAAAAAGCUCGUAGUUGAAUUUCGGGAUCAGUAGGCUGGUCGUGCCACAGGUAUGUACUGGUCUCACUGAUUCCUCCUUCCUGAUGAACCGUAAUGCCAUUAAUUUGGUGUUGUGGGGAAACUGGACUGUUACUUUGAAAAAAUUAGAGUGUUUAAAGCAGGCUAACGCUUGAAUACAUUAGCAUGGAAUAAUGAAAUAGGACGUUGAUCCUAUUUUGUUGGUUUCUAGGAUUGACGUAAUGAUUAAUAGGGAUAGUUGGUGGCAUUAGUAUUCAAUUGUCAGAGGUGAAAUUCUUGGAUUUAUUGAAGACUAACUACUGCGAAAGCAUUUGCCAAGGAUGUUUUCAUUAAUCAAGAACGAAAGUUAGGGGAUCGAAGACGAUCAGAUACCGUCGUAGUCUUAACCAUAAACUAUGCCGACUAGGGAUCGGAUGAUGUUAAUUUUUUAAUGACUCAUUCGGCGCCUUACG